This 484-nucleotide ribosomal RNA is filed under the name uncultured bacterium. RNAcentral's name for it is "partial 16S ribosomal RNA". It matches the Rfam family "Bacterial small subunit ribosomal RNA", at positions 30 to 507 of the family's 1533-position model. The record is from RNAcentral.
AUUGAACGCUGGCGGCAGGCCUAACACAUGCAAGUCGAGCGGAUGAAGGGAGCUUGCUCCUGGAUUCAGCGGCGGACGGGUGAGUAAUGCCUAGGAAUCUGCCUGGUAGUGGGGGAUAACGUCCGGAAACGGGCGCUAAUACCGCAUACGUCCUGCGGGAGAAAGUGGGGGAUCUUCGGACCUCACGCUAUCAGAUGAGCCUAGGUCGGAUUAGCUAGUUGGUGGGGUAAAGGCCUACCAAGGCGACGAUCCGUAACUGGUCUGAGAGGAUGAUCAGUCACACUGGAACUGAGACACGGUCCAGACUCCUACGGGAGGCAGCAGUGGGGAAUAUUGGACAAUGGGCGAAAGCCUGAUCCAGCCAUGCCGCGUGUGUGAAGAAGGUCUUCGGAUUGGAAAGCACUUUAAGUUGGGAGGAAGGGCAGUAAGUUAAUACCUUGCUGUUUUGACGUUACCAACAGAAUAAGCACCGGCUAACUUCGUG